RNAcentral lists this long non-coding RNA (232 nucleotides) under Fukomys damarensis (Damara mole-rat). RNAcentral's name for it is "lncRNA (ENSFDAG00000024929.1)". The record is from RNAcentral. Lineage: Eukaryota; Metazoa; Chordata; Mammalia; Rodentia; Bathyergidae.
AGAGACCUCCCUUAGGGACAAAAGCCUCCUCCAUCUUGGGCACAAAGAAGUCUCAAUAUCAGCACAGCAUGAGGUUCCCUGACCAUGCCAGCACUGACCAGAAGAGAAGCUGACCAAUCCACCAACCUGAUCAUGGACCAUGCCAGUCCCCCAGAAGAGAAGGUAAGCUCUAGUCAGCAGCUUCAAAGAGAAAUAACAGACCUGGCCAGAGGACUAGCCCCAAGCAAAGCCC